AAGGAUCAUUACUGAGUGCGGGCUGCCUUCGGGCGCCCAACCUAUGCUCGUGAUAGGGUCCGUGAUGAUGCUUCGGCGGGGAGCCCUCUCGGGGGCGAGCCGCCGGGGAAUGCUCGUGAUGGAGCCUGAGAGUGAUGCAGUCUGAGUAUGCUCGCGCUAGUAGAUGUCGCUGUAGUCAAUGGAUCUCUUGGUUCCGGCAUCGAUGAAGAACGCAGCGAACUGCGAAUGCUCGCUGAAGGCCUCGUGAUAGAGUGAUCAUCGAGUCUUUGAACGCACAUUGCGAUGCUCGUGAAUCCGGGGGGCAUGCCUGUCCGAGCGUCAUUGCAUAUGCUCGUAGUAGUCUUGUGUGUUGGGAUGCUCUCCCCCCCGGGGGACGGGCCCGAAAGGCAGCGGCGGCACCGAUGCUCGCUGAUAGGCGUAUGGGAUGGCAUGCUCGCUGGGGUUUAGGGCCGGCCGGGCGCCAGCCGACGUCCAACCAUUUUUCUUCAGGUUGACCUCGGAUCAGGUAGGGAAUGCUCGCUCGUACAUAUCAAUAAGCGGAGGAUGCUCGUAGUAGUCGCAUGAU
RNAcentral lists this ribosomal RNA (565 nucleotides) under uncultured fungus. RNAcentral describes it as "eukaryotic LSU rRNA". The stretch from base 168 to 321 matches the Rfam family "5.8S ribosomal RNA". Lineage: Eukaryota; Fungi. The record is from RNAcentral.